Molecule: non-coding RNA, 244 nt
Organism: Pelobates cultripes (western spadefoot toad)
Lineage: Eukaryota; Metazoa; Chordata; Amphibia; Anura; Pelobatidae
Source: the annotation of a GenBank genome assembly
UUUGAAUUUAGUGUAUUUGCUGCAAAUGUCCAGAGGUAGUCGGUAAUGACCUGCCUUUAAAUUUCUAUGGUAGAGCUGAGAUUAUCUAUCAAAUUUCUUUACAGGAGUGGCUUGUGGGAAAUGUAGUUUGGCUGCCUGCAAGAAACCUUUGCUGUGCGUCAUAUAAAGGAGUAUUAUUAGCGGAAAUGAGAAACACUUCAGAUAGGGAGGGAGUGAAAGAGAGGGUGGGCUUAUGGAGCAAAAC